GACGAACCGUGCAAACGUUGUUCGGAUUCACUGGGCUUAAAGGGCGCGUAGGCGGGCGGUCAAGUCAGAGGUGAAAUCUUUCGGCUCAACCGGAAAAGUGCCCCUGAUACUGGCCAUCUCGAGGGAGGUAGGGGCAUGUGGAACUUCCGGUGGAGCGGUGAAAUGCGUAGAUAUCGGAAGGAACGCCGGUGGCGAAAGCGACGUGCUGGACCUCUUCUGACGCUGAGGCGCGAAAGCUAGGGGAGCAAACGGG
This 253-nucleotide ribosomal RNA is filed under the name uncultured bacterium. RNAcentral's name for it is "partial 16S ribosomal RNA". It matches the Rfam family "Bacterial small subunit ribosomal RNA", at positions 524 to 776 of the family's 1533-position model. The record is from RNAcentral.